Long non-coding RNA from Esox lucius (northern pike), 3824 nucleotides. NCBI's taxonomy places the organism in Eukaryota, Metazoa, Chordata, Actinopteri, Esociformes, Esocidae. The record is from Ensembl.
GAGGCGAUAAGGUUAUGUUACAUCUGAUAACAAAGAAGAUUCAGCAUUAUUCUGUCGUCUCUUCAGAAUACAUUAUAGGUCGUUGUAACCUAAUUAUUGACAAUGGCUAACGAACUGGCUUUUCGUUCCCGGGUUACCUCCAUUAUGGAAGCUUUAACAACAACAGUCGUGCAGGAAAUCUGUCAGCUUAUGGGAGAAAGCUAUGCUGCUCUAAGAGCAGAAGUGUUGCAUCAAAAAAAGAGAGACACGGUGAUGGAGAAGAUGGCAAACGUCUUUGAUAACGUUUCUAAACCGGCUCCCCCAAUAAUUUCGGGAAACUUUCCAGUCGUGGGGCAAGUCUUCAAUGAACAAGAGGCCAGCUGUAUUUGGUUAGAAGAUGGUGCUGUUGAAGGUCUUGUCUCUCCGGUACCAGAGACAGGAAGACAAGAGGUAUCAAAGCCCCUCCGUCAAACUGAAGACACUGUCCCGUGGCCAGUAUGGCUUAUAAAACAGGAGGAGGAAGAUGACGAUGAUCUGGACUUACAAGGUGACAGGAAGUGGAAACCAGAGUCGGCAGAACCGAAUGUCACAGGAGAAAGCGACGGAGAAGACAGAGGUCAAGUCUUUGGUGGAUCUAGUGGACUUGAGGACUUCAAAAGAGAAUUUCAAGAGAGUCCGUUGCUGGAGUCUGUUGAGGACACAGCAUCACCUAUAAAGAGACACGUUAGACAAAUGUUAAAACACGCUGGAUCAACAUAUUUUAGCUGCAAUCUCUGUGAUGAGAAAUUCCAGGGCCAGAGUGGCUUGGCCAGACACCGGCGCCACAAACAUGACCUGGUGAAAGCCUACUGUUGCUCUGUGUGCGGGAAAGGCUUCACCUACAUCAAAUCCCUGAACUCUCAUGAGCUCUCUCAUUCUGAGGUGAUCUCUUCAGCUGUACCUGUGGAUGAAACCAGGGCAAGGAAAAUCAAUCUGACAGAUGAACCCACAGACGGGAAUGCCGCAAGAGACAUGAUUAGUGCCAUCCUUCACUCAAAGCCAGGUGGAGAAAAGGUCUUCCAGGAAUAUGCAAACUCCAAAGGUCUAACAGAUAGCACGCGGAGACUGAUGGUGAACAUAAUUGUGGCCGAUAUGAUGGAAAAUCAUGGGAGGACCCCACCAUCAAGUGUCCGCACCAACUACGCCUUGGGGAUUGUGACUUUAUUUCCUUACUUGAGUGAUCCAAAUUCUGAGCAUGGAUAUGAACAAUAUUAUGAUUCAGCUAGUGGGUCUGGCUACCUGACCUGGAGGAUAAAGACAGUGGGUCGCAACAAAUUAUGUAAGACCAAGAAGAAAACCUAUCAGAAUGGUUCAAAGACUCAACGACAUUCCUCAUCAGCUGUUGAGCCACUAUUGGAUGAACAGGUCAGUUCAGUGGGCUCCGAUUGCUCUGGUUCAGCUGUACAUCUGGAUGAAACAAGGUCAAGGAAACGGCGUCGGGCUGAUGAACCCACAGACAGGAAUGUUGCAAGAGAUAUGAUCAGCGCCAUCCUUCACUCAAAACCAGGUGGUGAAAUGGUAUUUCAGGAGUAUAUGAAAACCAAAGGUCUUACGGAAAGCACGCGGAGACUGAUGGUGAACAUUAUUGUGGCAGAUAUGAUGGAAAAUCACGGGAGGACGCCCCCAUCAAGUGUCCGCGCCAACUACGCCUUGGGGAUUGUGACAUUAUUUCCCUAUUUGAGGGAUCCACAUUCUGAGCAUGGAUAUGAAAAAUAUUAUGAUGCAGCUAGUGGGUCUGGCUACCUGACCUGGAGGAUAAAGACAGUGGGUCGCAACACAUCAUGUAAGACCAAGAAGAAAACCAAGUCCACUUAUCAAAAUGGCCCAAAGGUUCUGCGAAGUUCUGUUUUACCUGUUGGGCAACUGUCAGGUGAUGAAUGUGUAGAAGCAAUAUCCCAGCUGAAGCAUACAAAUGACAAGGCACUGGUGAAAGAGAAAAUGAAGAUGACGUUCCAAUAUAGACAGGCGAUGAUUCAUGAUCCGGAGAAGCCCUCAACUGUCCUUAAUGUCUUCCCAAGAUUCCUUGACACUCCAGGCUUGGUACGAUUUGUUAAUAUUGUGAAAUAAAAAAAAAAAUUAAAAGUCUAAAUCCACGGUCGGGAGAGAGUAUUCAACUCUGAUCUAUGGUGAAGAGCUGCAUGUGCACAGCUUCGCACGUAAUAUUUUUUUAUGUUUCAGAUCAAUCAAGAUUUCACCAUGCUUUUUGGAGAGGUUGUGUCUGGAACGUUCCUGGAAAAGUGGCCAACAUUCUUCAAACCCAGGGUGAUAGCAGAUUGCAAAACCCUUCCUUCCAGUGAACUGGUUGAACACCUCCUGUCAUCUGCACAACAGGAACCGAAUGAUUAUGGAUGGGAGAGUGACCUUGCAUCCAUUUUGUUGCUCCUGCAUCUUUUACCCCCCACCUCAAAAGGCCCAAAGACUGCAAAGAUCCGUACCUCUCAAGCUGCUGACCAUCUGGUUAGAUUUCUAAAGGUAACAUUCACAUUGUCAUCUGUGCCAUUCUUUUGCCUAGCAUUUGUUAAAGAUGUACGAAACUCCUGUUACCCCCUAGAACUUUCUUCUGUUUCACAUUGGGAUCAGCGCUCUAGCCAAGUUAUUGACAUCUCACAUUUCUUUCUGUGUUAAUAUUACCUAUGAGAGCGUGAGCAGCAGGGGGCGCCUUUUUAAUUUGGAAUAGUUCGUUUUCUUCAAAAAUAUUGAAAUGUUUUGUUGAAGUGUUUCCAAAUCCUGCUUGCGGAUUGCCCCAGGGGUCCCGUGGAGGGAGCUGCAAUUCGCCGCCACCAUCCGGUUUUGGGGGUUAUUGAUCACAUGGUUGCCUUGCCUCGUUGGGCUCUUAAGACACCUUGUGGCACCUUGGGGGUCUGUGAGCUCAGUUAAGGUAGAGGGCUUGAGUGUCUCUCUUCCGGAACAUAAAGAUUCCUGUCAAGACUUUGUAGUUAAGCAAGCAGUGUGAACCAGAAUGUUUCGGAUGUGCCUGGGAGGAUGCAUACUGUAUGUUUACAUUGACCGUCCCAACUUAGCAGGGAAUUGCUGCGAUAAAGCGGGCCGUUGGGUAUGCAUCCCGGCCUCAGAAAGCCAUCCUGCUUAGCCAUAGAGCUAACAAUGAAGUCUGGGUCCGCAAAAACAUGCAAGCCUGAUGGAUACAGCUAUGUUAUACAAGUUUAUUUAGAGUAAAGUUUUCUGGCGGGCAACUGUUCACACAACUUCUCAUGAUGUGGUAUGCACAGAUGCUUAAAUGAAAACCAGUAUGCACAGAGGCUCAAACUGAGUACAAAUUAGAAUGCCGUGGAGUGUCUUCCAACGCUAAUCCUUCAUAUACCUGCUUAGGAUUUUUUGGGAUUGUGGAAGAUGCUAUUUACUGUUGAAUUCUGUAUUGUCUGUUGGUCAGGCGGGGACAAACAUGGCGACCUUUCUAAAGGAUGUUGGAUGUGACCAGCAGCCCUUCCUCCUUUGCGUUGGUGAACGGAAGAACAUACUCCAGAAGUUCUACGUAGUUGUCGACCAGAAGGCCAUCCCAUGCCAGGCUGAAACAUCACUAGCAGCUUUUGAUGAGCUCUUUAAGGCACAUUAUGUCUUCAGUGUGACGUAUCAUGAAGCUUUGUGCAACUUCUACACAUUCAUCCAAACCACUAUUUACAGUAUCGAUGUGGGAAAGGCAAAAGAAUCCUCAAGAGUCAAGGAGAUUAGAGUUAGGCUGCUCAAUAAAAACACUUAAAGGACAUCCAACAAUGUUUUUAUUUAUACAUAAUAUCACUGUAGUUGUGUAUUGAGAAGUUUCAUGAUUUUAAAUAAAAAAUGAAUUUGGG